UACAGAGGGUGCGAGCGUUAAUCGGAAUUACUGGGCGUAAAGCGCGUGUAGGCGGUUCGGAAAGUCGGGUGUGAAAGCCCUCGGCUCAACCGGGGAAGUGCACUCGAAACUGCAAGGCUAGAGUCUCGGAGAGGAUCGUGGAAUUCUCGGUGUAGAGGUGAAAUUCGUAGAUAUCGAGAGGAACACCGGUGGCGAAGGCGGCGAUCUGGACGAUGACUGACGCUGAGACGCGAAAGCGUGGGGAGCAAACAGG
RNAcentral lists this ribosomal RNA (253 nucleotides) under uncultured bacterium. Its description in RNAcentral is "partial 16S ribosomal RNA". It matches the Rfam family "Bacterial small subunit ribosomal RNA", at positions 524 to 776 of the family's 1533-position model. The record is from RNAcentral.